RNAcentral lists this ribosomal RNA (472 nucleotides) under uncultured bacterium. RNAcentral describes it as "bacterial SSU rRNA". It matches the Rfam family "Bacterial small subunit ribosomal RNA", at positions 28 to 507 of the family's 1533-position model. The record is from RNAcentral.
GACGAACGCUGGCGGCGUGCUUAACACAUGCAAGUCGAACGGAGAUAUAUAAAUAGUUUACUAUGAAUAUAUUUUAGUGGCGGACGGGUGAGUAACACGUGGGCAACCUGCCUUAGAGUGGGGGAUAACAACGAGAAAUCGUUGCUAAUACCGCAUGAAAUUAGAUUAUCGCAUGAUAGUUUAAUGAAAGGAGAAAUCCGCUAAAAGAUGGGCCCGCGCCUGAUUAGCUAGUUGGUGAGGUAAAAGCUCACCAAGGCGACGAUCAGUAGCCGAUCUGAGAGGAUGACCGGCCACACUGGAACUGAGACACGGUCCAGACUCCUACGGGAGGCAGCAGUGGGGAAUAUUGCACAAUGGGGGAAACCCUGAUGCAGCAACGCCGCGUGGAGGAAGAAGGUUUUCGGAUUGUAAACUCCUGCCUUUUGGGACGAUAAUGACGGUACCAAAAGAGGAAGCCACGGCUAACUACGUG